Molecule: small RNA, 166 nt
Filed under: Colobus angolensis palliatus
Lineage: Eukaryota; Metazoa; Chordata; Mammalia; Primates; Cercopithecidae
Description: TUC338 (ENSCANG00000010011.1)
Source: RNAcentral
CUGUCAGGGCUAGAGACUGGAGUUCUCUGUUCAUUCAUAUACCAGGUAAGGUACAAACAGGCAAAAUGCAAAUCCGUCUGUGAGUAAUCAAACAUUUGGCCUGGGGGAAGAACCCAGUUAAGAGAAGGUAGUUCAUUUUUCCUCCCUGCUGCUUUAUUCCCCAGCC